Molecule: ribosomal RNA, 368 nt
Filed under: Serratia marcescens
Lineage: Bacteria; Pseudomonadati; Pseudomonadota; Gammaproteobacteria; Enterobacterales; Yersiniaceae
Description: bacterial SSU rRNA
Rfam family: Bacterial small subunit ribosomal RNA
Source: RNAcentral
AGGUUGUGCCCUUGAGGCGUGGCUUCCGGAGCUAACGCGUUAAAUCGACCGCCUGGGGAGUACGGCCGCAAGGUUAAAACUCAAAUGAAUUGACGGGGGCCCGCACAAGCGGUGGAGCAUGUGGUUUAAUUCGAUGCAACGCGAAGAACCUUACCUACUCUUGACAUCCAGAGAACUUUCCAGAGAUGGAUUGGUGCCUUCGGGAACUCUGAGACAGGUGCUGCAUGGCUGUCGUCAGCUCGUGUUGUGAAAUGUUGGGUUAAGUCCCGCAACGAGCGCAACCCUUAUCCUUUGUUGCCAGCGGUUCGGCCGGGAACUCAAAGGAGACUGCCAGUGAUAAACUGGAGGAAGGUGGGGAUGACGUCAAG